GCGAUAGCGGAGGGGUUCCACACGUACCCAUCCCGAACACGACCGUUAAGCCCUCCAGCGCCGAUGGUACUUGGACUGCAGGGUCCUGGGAGAGUAGGACGUUGCCA
RNAcentral lists this ribosomal RNA (107 nucleotides) under uncultured Paenibacillus sp. Lineage: Bacteria; Bacillati; Bacillota; Bacilli; Caryophanales; Paenibacillaceae. The record is from RNAcentral.